AACGAACGCUGGCGGCAGGCUUAACACAUGCAAGUCGAGCGCCCCGCCAGGGGAGCGGCAGACGGGUGAGUAACGCGUGGGAACGUACCUUUUGGUUCGGAACAACUCCGGGAAACUGGAGCUAAUACCGGAUAAGCCCUAACGGGGAAAGAUUUAUCGCCGAAAGAUCGGCCCGCGUCUGAUUAGCUAGUUGGUGAGGUAACGGCUCACCAAGGCGACGAUCAGUAGCUGGUCUGAGAGGAUGAUCAGCCACACUGGGACUGAGACACGGCCCAGACUCCUACGGGAGGCAGCAGUGGGGAAUAUUGGACAAUGGGCGCAAGCCUGAUCCAGCCAUGCCGCGUGAGUGAUGAAGGCCUUAGGGUUGUAAAGCUCUUUUGUCCGGGAAGAUAAUGACUUUACCGGAAGAAUAAGCCCCGGCUAACUUCGUG
This 431-nucleotide ribosomal RNA is filed under the name uncultured bacterium. RNAcentral's name for it is "partial 16S ribosomal RNA". It matches the Rfam family "Bacterial small subunit ribosomal RNA", at positions 29 to 507 of the family's 1533-position model. The record is from RNAcentral.